CCGUACCGCAAACCGACACUGGUGCGCGAGAUGAGUAUUCUAAGGCGCUUGAGAGAACUCAGGAGAAGGAACUCGGCAAAUCGACACCGUAACUUCGAAGAAGGUGUGCCUUUAGUAGGUGAACCAUUUACUUGGGGAGCCCAAUGAGGCCGCAAAAAAUCGGUGGCUGCAACUGUUUAUUAAAAACACAGCACUCUGCUAAGACGAAAGUCGACGUAUAGGGUGUGACGCCUGCCCGGUGCUGGAAGAUUAAAUGAUGGGGUGCAAGCUCUUGAUUGAAGUCCCAGUAAACGGCGGCCGUAACUAUAACGGUCCUAAGGUAGCGAAAUUCCUUGUCGGGUAAGUUCCGACCUGCACGAAUGGCGUAAUGAUGGCCACACUGUCUCCUCCUGAGACUCAGCGAAGUUGAAAUGUUUGUGAUGAUGCAAUCUCCCCGCGGAAAGACGGAAAGACCCCAUGAACCUUUACUGUAGCUUUGUAUUGGACUUUGAACAGAUCUGUGUAGGAUAGGUGGGAGGCUUUGAAGUGUGGUCGCUAGAUCGCAUGGAGCCAACGUUGAAAUACCACCCUGGUGUGUUUGAGGUUCUAACCUAGGUCCAUUAUCUGGAUCGGGGACAGUGCAUGGUAGGCAGUUUGACUGGGGCGGUCUCCUCCCAAAGUGUAACGGAGGAGUUCGAAGGUACGCUAGGUACGGUCGGACAUCGUGCUAAUAGUGCAAUGGCAUAAGCGUGCUUAACUGCGAGACUGACAAGUCGAGCAGAUGCGAAAGCAGGACAUGAUCCGGUGGUUCUGUAUGGAAGGGCCAUCGCUCAACGGAUAAAAGGUACUCUGGGGAUAACAGGCUGAUACCGCCCAAGAGUUCAUAUCGACGGCGGUGUUUGGCACCUCGAUGUCGGCUCAUCUCAUCCUGGGGCUGUAGCCGGUCCCAAGGGUAUGGCUGUUCGCCAUUUAAAGAGGUACGUGAGCUGGGUUUAAAACGUCGUGAGACAGUUUGGUCCCUAUCUUCCGUGGGCGCUGCAGAUUUGAGGAAGCCUGCUCCUAGUACGAGAGGACCGGAGUGGACGAACCUCUGGUGUAUCGGUUGUCACGCCAGUGGCAUUGCCGAGUAGCUAAGUUCGGAAGAGAUAACCGCUGAAAGCAUCUAAGCGGGAAACUCGUUUCAAGAUUAGAUCUGCCGGGGCCUUGAGCCCCCUAAAGAGUCGUUCAAGACCAGGACGUUGAUAGGUCAGGUGUGGAAGCUA
Molecule: ribosomal RNA, 1241 nt
Filed under: metagenome
Description: bacterial LSU rRNA
Rfam family: Bacterial large subunit ribosomal RNA
Source: RNAcentral